CGAUGUCGGCUCAUCACAUCCUGGGGCUGAAGCCGGUCCCAAGGGUAUGGCUGUUCGCCAUUUAAAGUGGUACGCGAGCUGGGUUUAGAACGUCGUGAGACAGUUCGGUCCCUAUCUACCGUGGGCGUUGGAGACUUGAAGGGGGCUGCUCCUAGUACGAGAGGACCGGAGUGGACGUACCUCUGGUGUUCCGGUUGUCACGUCAGUGGCACAGCCGGGUAGCUAUGUACGGUCGGAAUAACCGCUGAAAGCAUCUAAGCGGGAAGUCCACCCUGAGAUGAGGUCUCCCUGGACCUUCGAGGUCCCUGAAGGCUCGUCGUAGACUACGACGUUGAUAGGCUGGGUGUGGAAGCGCAGCAAUGUGCGGAGCUAACCAGUACUAAUUGGCCGUGAGACUUGACCAU
Molecule: ribosomal RNA, 404 nt
Filed under: Pseudomonadota bacterium
Lineage: Bacteria; Pseudomonadati; Pseudomonadota
Description: partial 23S ribosomal RNA
Rfam family: Bacterial large subunit ribosomal RNA
Source: RNAcentral